RNAcentral lists this ribosomal RNA (521 nucleotides) under uncultured Glomeraceae. Its description in RNAcentral is "SSU rRNA". It matches the Rfam family "Eukaryotic small subunit ribosomal RNA", at positions 569 to 1092 of the family's 1831-position model. Lineage: Eukaryota; Fungi; Glomeromycota; Glomeromycetes; Glomerales; Glomeraceae. The record is from RNAcentral.
AGCAGCCGCGGUAAUUCCAGCUCCAAUAGCGUAUAUUAAAGUUGUUGCAGUUAAAAAGCUCGUAGUUGAAUUUCGGGAUCAGUUGGUCGGUCGUACCUCGGUACGUACUGGUCAAAUUGAUUCCUACCUUCUGACGAACCACGAUGUCAUUAAUUUGGUGUCGCGGGAAAUCAGGACUGUUACUUUGAAAAAAUUAGAGUGUUUAAAGCAGGCUCGCGCUUGAAUACAUUAGCAUGGAAUAAUGAAAUAGGACGUUUGAUUCUAUUUUGUUGGUUUCUAGGAUCGACGUAAUGAUUAAUAGGGAUAGUUGGGGGCAUUAGUAUUCAAUUGUCAGAGGUGAAAUUCUUGGAUUUAUUGAAGACUAACUACUGCGAAAGCAUUUGCCAAGGAUGUUUUCAUUAAUCAAGAACGAAAGUUAGGGGAUCGAAGACGAUCAGAUACCGUCGUAGUCUUAACCAUAAACUAUGCCGACUAGGGAUCGGAUGAUGUUAAUUUUUUAAUGACUCAUUCGGCGCCUUACG